This is a long non-coding RNA of Bos taurus (domestic cattle), 1467 nucleotides long. NCBI's taxonomy places the organism in Eukaryota, Metazoa, Chordata, Mammalia, Artiodactyla, Bovidae. The record is from Ensembl.
ACGAGUCCUUGUAAGUGGGAAUCAGACUCAAAUUUGAAGACACUAUGCUGCUGGUUUUGAAGAUGGAGGAAGGGGCCAGGAGCCCGGAAGUUCAGACAGCCUCUAGACAGUUUCCCAGAGCCUCCAGAAAAAAGGCUGCCCUUUAACACUUUGAUUCUCACCUCAUGCGACCGACUUCAGGCUUCUGAUCUACAUAAUGAGAAAACAAGAGAAAGGAUCCUUGAAGGAGGGAAGUAGAAGCAGGUGGUCAAUUAAGAAGCUCCUGCAGCCAUCAAGACAACAGGUGACGAUGUUCAUGCUGCCUCUGGCUGAGAUGAUUGGAUGGUGUUUGCCAUCAGUGCCUCUAAGACUCCUCACUCUCACUGCAGAGGGCCCAGGUUCGAUCCCUUGUCAGGGAAAUAGAUCCCACAUACAGCCACUGAAGUUCUCACGUCCUGCAACAGAAGAUCCUGUGUGCAGCAACUAAGACCCAGAGCAGCCAAAUAAAUAAAUAUUUUUUAAAAGUAACUCCUUUUAUGUUUAGACAGCUCUGAGAUUCUUCUUUGUUAAAGAAACUGGCCUCCCAAGACUUGAAGAGGCACAAUUUUGUUCUGCAAUCUCCUCUGCGUGACACCUCUCACGUGUGUGAAGAUAGUUCUUGCAGCUUCCUCGGGUCCUCUUUCUGCUUAUCUAGACCAAGCUCCCUGACAGUGCCUUCCUCGGUUCAGGCUCAGAUAUCACUUCUGCAGGAGACACCCUUCAUUCAUGAGGUCAUUCAUUCAUCCAAACUUUAUUAACAACUCAUUGUGUACCAUGUACUUGAUAGAACCUAGAAAUACAGAAAUGAAGGUAUAGUUCCUACCUUCAAGAAAUACAGCAUCCAUCGGGAGAGGGGGACGUUUAAAGAAAUAAUUGUAACAUCACUGGCAAGUGCUGUAACAGGGAUAUGGUGCGACACAAGGGCCACUCAGUCCAACGACUGACUUUUAAACUGGCCAUGCUAGGGCAUUCAUUUUACCAUAAUUAUCUUGCAUGGUGAUCACCGGAACUAAAAAGACUAGAAGAAUUCUAAAAAGAGUACUUCCACCACUCUGAUCUAAAUGUGAUAAUCCUAAGAAUGCAGCCCAGAACUGUAAUUAAUUUAUUUAGCAGAUGACUAACUUAAAAAAAAACUUCUGGCAUUAAUUUCAUGAAAUGCAAUUAGGUCCAUCCUGUGCAAAUGAAAAAAAAAAAAAAAAAACAGAUGGAAGGAUAGAUAGAUAGAGUGACAGUAGACAGAUAUAGGAAGUAUUUUAUAUUUAUUCAUCCUUGGUAAAUACCUUCUCAUUUCAGUCUAGCAAAACACUCAGAUACAGCGCCAGGCCUAAGAAGCAGGGUUGAAUUUCCAAUUCUGCUUCUUCUAGCUGCAGGAACUACCUCUUUAGUCUAUUUAGGGGAUUAAAAGAAAUAAUGAAUGAAAUUAUCUAGCGUAUCUCCAGCCUCAAGCUU